GACAGAGGUCCCAAGCGUUAGGCGGAAUCACUGGGCUUAAAGCGUGUGUAGGCGGAUGCCUAAGUACCUUGUGAAAUCCCACGGCUCACCCGUGGAACUGCUUGGUAUACUGGGUGUCUUGAGCCACGUAGGGGCUACCGGAACAAAUGGUGGAGCGGUGAAAUGCGUAGAUAUCAUUUGGAACGCCAAUGGUGAAAACAGGUAGCUGGGAGUGUGCUGACGCUGAGACACGAAAGCCAGGGGAGCAAACGGG
Molecule: ribosomal RNA, 253 nt
Filed under: uncultured bacterium
Lineage: Bacteria
Description: partial 16S ribosomal RNA
Rfam family: Bacterial small subunit ribosomal RNA
Source: RNAcentral